CUAGUAACGGCGAGUGAAGCGGCAACAGCUCAAAUUUGAAAUCUGGCCUCCCUUGGGGGUCCGAGUUGUAAUUUGCAGAGGGUGCUUUGGCGUCGGCAGCGGUCUAAGUUCCUUGGAACAGGACAUCACAGAGGGUGAGAAUCCCGUACGUGGUCGCCUGCCUUCGCCGUGUAAAGCCCCUUCGACGAGUCGAGUUGUUUGGGAAUGCAGCUCUAAAUGGGAGGUAAAUUUCUUCUAAAGCUAAAUACCGGCCAGAGACCGAUAGCGCACAAGUAGAGUGAUCGAAAGAUGAAAAGCACUUUGGAAAGAGAGUCAAACAGCACGUGAAAUUGUUGAAAGGGAAGCGCUUGCAGCCAGACUUGCUCGUAGUUGCUCAUCCGGGUCCGCCCGGAGCACUCUUCUGCGAGCAGGCCAGCAUCAGUUUGGGCGACCGGAUAAAGGCCUCUGUCAUGUACCUUCCCUCGGGAAGGCCUUAUAGGGGAGGCGUAAUGCGGCCAGCCCGGACUGAGGUCCGCGCAUCUGCUAGGAUGCUGGCGUAAUGGCUGUAAGCGGCCCGUCUUGAAACACGGACCAAGGAGUCUAACAUCUAUGCGAGUGUUUGGGUGUCAAGCCCGGGCGCGUAAUGAAAGUGAACGGAGGUGGGAACCCUCUCCGGGGGGUGCACCAUCGACCGAUCCUGAUGUCUUCGGAUGGAUUUGAGUAAGAGCAUAGCUGUUGGGACCCGAAAGAUGGUGAACUAUGCUUGAAUAGGGUGAAGCCAGAGGAAACUCUGGUGGAGGCUCGCAGCGGUUCUGACGUGCAAAUCGAUCGUCAAA
RNAcentral lists this ribosomal RNA (815 nucleotides) under Keissleriella phragmiticola. RNAcentral's name for it is "partial large subunit ribosomal RNA". It matches the Rfam family "Eukaryotic large subunit ribosomal RNA", at positions 80 to 909 of the family's 3401-position model. The record is from RNAcentral. Lineage: Eukaryota; Fungi; Ascomycota; Dothideomycetes; Pleosporales; Lentitheciaceae.